RNAcentral lists this ribosomal RNA (427 nucleotides) under uncultured bacterium. RNAcentral describes it as "partial 16S ribosomal RNA". It matches the Rfam family "Bacterial small subunit ribosomal RNA", at positions 355 to 774 of the family's 1533-position model. The record is from RNAcentral.
UGGGGAAUAUUGGACAAUGGGCGAAAGCCUGAUCCAGCCAUGCCGCGUGUGUGAAGAAGGUCUUCGGAUUGUAAAGCACUUUAAGUUGGGAGGAAGGGCAGUAAGUUAAUACCUUGCUGUUUUGACGUUACCGACAGAAUAAGCACCGGCUAACUCUGUGCCAGCAGCCGCGGUAAUACAGAGGGUGCAAGAGUUAAUCGGAAUUACUGGGCGUAAAGCGCGCGUAGGUGGUUUGUUAAGUUGGAUGUGAAAGCCCCGGGCUCAACCUGGGAACUGCAUCCAAAACUGGCAGGCUAGAGUACGGUAGAGGGUGGUGGAAUUUCCUGUGUAGCGGUGAAAUGCGUAGAUAUAGGAAGGAACACCAGUGGCGAAGGCGACCACCUGGACUGAUACUGACACUGAGGUGCGAAAGCGUGGGGAGCAAACA